This 1008-nucleotide ribosomal RNA is filed under the name fungal sp. NIS1. RNAcentral describes it as "eukaryotic LSU rRNA". The stretch from base 156 to 309 matches the Rfam family "5.8S ribosomal RNA". The record is from RNAcentral. Lineage: Eukaryota; Fungi.
CGGUCGCCCCCAGGAAAAGGCUGGGUUUCGGGCUUGGCUCGACUCUCCCACCCUUUGUGAACGUACCUCUGUUGCUUUGGCGGCUCCGGCCGCCAAAGGACCUCCAAACUCCAGUCAGUAAACGCAGACGUCUGAUAAACAAGUUAAUAAACUAAAACUUUCAACAACGGAUCUCUUGGUUCUGGCAUCGAUGAAGAACGCAGCGAAAUGCGAUAAGUAAUGUGAAUUGCAGAAUUCAGUGAAUCAUCGAAUCUUUGAACGCACAUUGCGCCCCUUGGUAUUCCGGGGGGCAUGCCUGUUCGAGCGUCAUUACAACCCUCAAGCUCUGCUUGGAAUUGGGCACCGUCCUCACUGCGGACGCGCCUCAAAGACCUCGGCGGUGGCUGUUCAGCCCUCAAGCGUAGUAGAAUACACCUCGCUUUGGAGUGGUUGGCGUCGCCCGCCGGACGAACCUUCUGAACUUUUCUCAAGGUUGACCUCGGAUCAGGUAGGGAUACCCGCUGAACUUAAGCAUAUCAAUAAGCGGAGGAAGAUCAUUACGAGUUUUCGGGCUUCGGCUCGACUCUCCCACCCUUUGUGAACGUACCUCUGUUGCUUUGGCGGCUCGGCCGCCAAAGGACCUCCAAACUCCAGUCAGUAAACGCAGACGUCUGAUAAACAGUUAAUAAACUAAAAUUUCAACAACGGAUCUCUUGGUUCUGGCAUCGAUGAAGAAGCAGCGAAAUGCGGUAAGUAAUGUGAAUUCAGAAAUCGUGAAAUCAUCAAUCUUUGAACGCAAUUGCGCCUUGGUAUUCGGGGGGCAUGCUGUUCGAGGUCAUUCAACCUCAGCUCUGCUUGGAAUUGGGGCAGUCCUCCUAGCGGAAGCGCUCAAAGACUCGCCUGGCUGUUCACCCUCAGCGUAGUAGAAAUCACCUUCCUUGAAUGGAUGGCGUCCGCGGACGACUCUGACUUUCAGUGACUCGGAUUGUAGAGGAUACCCGCUGACAACUUAACUAAUCUAUCAUAUAG